UGGCUCAGGACGAACGCUGGCGGCGUGCUUAACACAUGCAAGUCGAACGGAGAUUUUUAUUUCGGUAAAGAUCUUAGUGGCAAACGGGUGAGUAACGCGUAGGCAACCUGCCUUUCCGAUGGGGACAACAGUUCGAAAGGACUGCUAAUACCGAAUGAUGUAUAUCUUCCGCAUGGAGGACAUACCAAAGACGGCCUCUAUUUAUAAGCUGUCACGGAAAGAUGGGCCUGCGUCUGAUUAGCCAGUUGGCGGGGUAAUGGCCCACCAAAGCGACGAUCAGUAGCCGGUCUGAGAGGAUGAACGGCCACAUUGGGACUGAGACACGGCCCAAACUCCUACGGGAGGCAGCAGUGGGGAAUCUUCCGCAAUGGACGAAAGUCUGACGGAGCAACGCCGCGUGAGUGAAGAAGGUUUUCGAAUCGUAAAGCUCUGUUGUCAGGGACGAGCAGGGGGAGUAUCAACAACACUUCCUCAUGACGGUACCUGACGAGGAAGCCACGGCUAACUACGUGCCAGCAGCCGCGGUAAUACGUAGGUGGCGAGCGUUGUCCGGAAUUAUUGGGCGUAAAGGGAGCGCAGGUGGGAAAGUAAGUCUGCUUUAAAAGUGCGGGGCUCAACCCCGUGAGGGAGUGGAAACUAUUUUUUCUUGAGUGCAGGAGAGGAAAGCGGAAUUCCUAGUGUAGCGGUUGAAAUGCGUAGAUAUUAGGAGGAACACCAGUGGGCGGAGGCGGCUUUCUGGACUGUAACUGACACUGAGGCUCGAAAGCCAGGGGAGCGAACGGGAUUAGAUACCCCGGUAGUCCUGGCCGUAAACGAUGGAUACUAGGUGUAGGAGGUAUCGACCCCUUCUGUGCCGGAGUUAACGCAAUAAGUAUCCCGCCUGGGGAGUACGAUCGCAAGAUUGAAACUUAAAGGAAUUGACGGA
RNAcentral lists this ribosomal RNA (925 nucleotides) under uncultured Selenomonas sp. RNAcentral's name for it is "bacterial SSU rRNA". It matches the Rfam family "Bacterial small subunit ribosomal RNA", at positions 20 to 917 of the family's 1533-position model. Lineage: Bacteria; Bacillati; Bacillota; Negativicutes; Selenomonadales; Selenomonadaceae. The record is from RNAcentral.